UACGUAGGUGGCAAGCGUUAUCCGGAAUUACUGGGCGUAAAGCGCACGCAGGCGGUCUUUUAAGUUUGACGUGAAAGCUCCCGGCUUAACUGGGAGAGGUCGUUGAAGACUGGAAGACUUGAGGCAAUGAGAGGGGUGUAGAAUUCCCGGUGUAGUGGUGGAAUGCGUAGAUAUCGGGGGGAAUACCAGUGGCGGAAGCGGCACCCUAGCGUUAGCCUGACGCUCAUGUGCGAAAGCGUGGGGAGCGAACGGG
RNAcentral lists this ribosomal RNA (253 nucleotides) under uncultured bacterium. RNAcentral's name for it is "partial 16S ribosomal RNA". It matches the Rfam family "Bacterial small subunit ribosomal RNA", at positions 524 to 776 of the family's 1533-position model. The record is from RNAcentral.